This 72-nucleotide transfer RNA is filed under the name Pangasius djambal. RNAcentral describes it as "tRNA-Glu". Lineage: Eukaryota; Metazoa; Chordata; Actinopteri; Siluriformes; Pangasiidae. The record is from RNAcentral.
UCCCUGAAGGACAAGUGGUUAGGCAACAGCACUCUCACUGAUGCUGUCUGGGUUCGAUUCCUGGCCAGGGAA